GUGAAUCAUCGAAUUUUUGAACGCAAAUUGCACUCUCCUCGGAGAGUAUGCCUGUUUGAGGGUCAGCCUAUAAAAAAUCGACAUCGUUGCUGUUUCGCGGUGACGUUCGUCGGAAAUUGGGUCAUCUUAAAUCCUUUUGGUUUUAAGCGACUUAAAAUUUUCUUUUUGGUUCCAUGAACGUUUCUAAGAUUUAUUUCUUACCCGGUUAAGGGGUUCGGUUUUUUAUUAGAGGGACCAAUCA
RNAcentral lists this unclassified non-coding RNA (241 nucleotides) under Glomeraceae sp. Its description in RNAcentral is "partial contains 5.8S ribosomal RNA and internal transcribed spacer 2". The stretch from base 1 to 65 matches the Rfam family "5.8S ribosomal RNA", at positions 84 to 154 of the family's 154-position model. Lineage: Eukaryota; Fungi; Glomeromycota; Glomeromycetes; Glomerales; Glomeraceae. The record is from RNAcentral.